GACGAACGCUGGCGGCGUGCUUAACACAUGCAAGUCGAACGGGAACCUUUAUUUCGGUAAAGGUGAGAGUGGCAAACGGGUGAGUAACACGUAGGCAACCUGCCGACAGGAUGGGGACAACAUUCCGAAAGGAAUGCUAAUACCGAAUGGAGUCCGGAGAUGGCAUCAUCUCUGGAUAAAAGAUGGCCUCUGAAUAUGCUAUCGCCUGUCGAUGGGCCUGCGUCUGAUUAGCCAGUUGGCGGGGUAACGGCCCACCAAAGCGACGAUCAGUAGCCGGUCUGAGAGGAUGAACGGCCACAUUGGGACUGAGACACGGCCCAGACUCCUACGGGAGGCAGCAGUGGGGAAUCUUCCACAAUGGGCGAAAGCCUGAUGGAGCAACGCCGCGUGAGUGAAGAAGGUCUUCGGAUCGUAAAGCUCUGUUGCACGGGACGAAAACCGAGCUUGAGAAUAUUGAGUUUGGGGACGGUACCGAG
Molecule: ribosomal RNA, 476 nt
Filed under: Selenomonas sputigena
Lineage: Bacteria; Bacillati; Bacillota; Negativicutes; Selenomonadales; Selenomonadaceae
Description: bacterial SSU rRNA
Rfam family: Bacterial small subunit ribosomal RNA
Source: RNAcentral